RNAcentral lists this unclassified non-coding RNA (1479 nucleotides) under uncultured fungus. RNAcentral describes it as "sequence contains 18S rRNA gene, ITS1, 5.8S rRNA gene, ITS2, 28S rRNA gene". The stretch from base 463 to 1479 matches the Rfam family "Eukaryotic large subunit ribosomal RNA", at positions 1 to 961 of the family's 3401-position model. Lineage: Eukaryota; Fungi. The record is from RNAcentral.
GGAAGGAUCAUUACAAAUCAUGGUGGUGGGGUUGGGUUGGGGAGGUGGUGGGAGCGGGAUGGUGGGUGAGUAGGCGUCGUCAUUGGCGUCAACCCCCACACUGCCCUCAGCACCCCCCAUCCAGCCGCUGCUCACAUUUGCGCUUGUUGUGUAUGACAGAGUAACUGUGCGAAGAAAGAGACAACUUUUAACAAUGGAUCUCUUGGCUCUUGCAACGAUGAAGAACGCAGCAAAAUGCGAUACGUAGUGCGAUCUGCAUGAACCUGUGAGUCAUCGAGUCUUUGAACGCAACUUGCGCCACUCUGUGGCAUGUCUGUUUGAGCACCAUAUACCUCUGUCGCAAGACGAGUUGUCCAGUCGGUCGCUGGACUGAAUGUCGUGUGCAACUUCACGGGCGCGCUGUGGCGAACCGAGCUAGAGACCACUGGUCUUGUCGGGUAUCCACUAACCGCCUAAUGUCACCGGUCUCAAAUCAGGCAAGACUACCCGCUGAACUUAAGCAUAUCAGUAAGCGGAGGAAAAGAAACUAACAAGGAUUCCCUCAGUAAUGGCGAAUGAAGCGGGAACAGCUCAAAUUUGAAAUCUCGGUGGACAGCCCACCGCGAAUUGUAGUCUAAAGAAGGCGAUGCAGGCCGUGCAGCGGACCAAGUGCCUUGGGAUAGGCCGCCAGAGAGGGUGAGAGCCCCGUCAGUCCGUGCGCCGAGCCGAGUCAGAGCCUCUCAACGAGUCGAGUUGUUUGGGAAUGCAGCUCAAAGUAGGUGGUAAAUCUCAUCCAAGGCUAAAUACUGGCAAGAGACCGAUAGCGAACAAGUACCGUGAGGGAAAGAUGAAAAGCACCUUGAAAAGGGAGUUAAACAGUGCGUGAAAUUGUUAAAAGGGAAGCGAUUGAGAUCAGUGUUGGUCCCCGCUCAAGCCUCUGCUCCGGUGGGGGCGGCGGCGGGGUGCCGAGUCAAGGCCGGUUGUGGGCGCUGGACACGCGCCGCGGGAAGGUGGGGUCGUCCUUCGGGGCGGCUCUUUAUAGACCGCGGUGGCUGCAGCGCCGGCGACCGGAACGGACACGCAACGCGCUGCGCAGAGAGGCGCUCCCCGAUUGCCGGACUACAUGUAGACCGGCGUCGGGUGUGCUGACGGCGCAGCUCCUGCGUGAACCACUUGACAAAAUGGUCUUAAACGACCCGUCUUGAAACACGGACCAAGGAGUCUAACAAUGUUGCGAGCAUUAUGGUGGCAAACCAAGGUGCGCAAUGAAAGUGAAAGCCUGCGAGCUCCGGCGCAGCAGGGACCGGCCUGGCAGUAGCCUGACAGGACCGAGUAGGAGCAGGAUUGUUGGGACCCGAAAGGCGGUGAACUAUGCCUGACUAGGGCGAAGCCAGAGGAAACUCUGGUGGAGGCUCGUAGCCGUUCUGACGUGCAAAUCGAUGGUCAAAGUUGGGUAUAGGGGCGAAAGACUAAUCGAACCGCCUAGUAGCUGGUUCCCUC